This 253-nucleotide ribosomal RNA is filed under the name uncultured bacterium. RNAcentral describes it as "partial 16S ribosomal RNA". It matches the Rfam family "Bacterial small subunit ribosomal RNA", at positions 524 to 776 of the family's 1533-position model. The record is from RNAcentral.
UACGUACCGUCCAAACGUUAUUCGGAAUCACUGGGCUUAAAGAGUUCGUAGGCGGCCCAGAAAGUUGGGUGUGAAAUCCCCCGGCUCAACCGGGGAACAGCGCUCAAAACUACUGGGCUUGAGGGAGAUAGAGGUGAGCGGAACUGAUGGUGGAGCGGUGAAAUGCGUUGAUAUCAUCAGGAACACCGGAGGCGAAGGCGGCUCACUGGGUCUUACCUGACGCUGAGGAACGAAAGCUAGGGGAGCGAACGGG